Molecule: long non-coding RNA, 6660 nt
Organism: Colius striatus (speckled mousebird)
Lineage: Eukaryota; Metazoa; Chordata; Aves; Coliiformes; Coliidae
Exons: 9
Source: RefSeq, a predicted model, not a curated record
GCGGCGCCUUCGGCCGGGCAGCGGAGCGCGGCGCGGAGCCGGGCGGCGGCGGCGGCUCGGUCCCGGUCCUUCCCGGCCCUCGGCAGUGAUGGAGAGGUGGGUGCAGUCUAUCAUGCAGCCAGCAGCCCAAGGAUGCCUGUGGGCUCACCCGAGCCAGCAUCAAUAAGGACCCUUCCAUGCCACGGUGGACUCCAGAGACAUAGGACUUCCUUUCUUGGAGGCUACAGAAACAAGGUCUCAAAAGCUGAACUGCUCUAAAUUCACAUGCCAGAGCAGAAACUGUUUCUCCUGACUCCAUGCCCUGCACUCAGCUAUCAGUCUUGCCUGCAAUGCUGUAAAGCAAAUGUUACCAUAGAAGAGCCUGGCUGAUGGGAGACACAGUUCCCAUUCACCUCCUUGAGCAUCAAGUGGUGCUAACUGGGAUGACUGCAGAAGCCCAGCUCUUUCCCUCGUCCUCUAAGAUCAGGAUUGUGAACCUUUCUGCAGCAAGAUUUGAAACAGCCAGAUUCCAGCUUUGACCAAAGUCCCUAGGAUUCACUUGUGAUUUCCAUUAAGUCUUCUUUAAGGUCAGCUGUUCUCUGGUUGGAGUAUUUUUAUAGUCCACAUUGUUAGAAAACCCAUACAUGAAGAAAAGAAAAAAGAAGUGAAACAAACUAGAGGCGUGGCCAUUAAUUCUUCCAGGGAAAAGAUGGCCUGCCUUCUUCAAGCAUCCAGACCUGCUGCAGAAUGUGUGAGAUUUCCCUGUGCAUGUUAUGAAAUACUUAAUUCCAAAUGCAAGUAGAAGAGAAAUGCAGCUGAAGUGGAUCUUGCACCAAGAAAUUAAGGCAGGCACAAAGAGAAGCGAGUGAGAAUGUUUUUCCCAGUCUCACUGGAAGAAUCCAGAAUGAGAUAUUGUUUCAACUGGAAAAUAAUAAUGGGGAGCACAUCAUCACCAAGCUGCAACAACCCAUCCUGAGCCAGGCUGCUCCACCAGGCUCAGCCCAGCAGGGACCAUACAGCCCAGCACGAGGCCAGCCCAGACCCUGUGUGCUCAUGCAGGAGGUGGUGCAACAGACCUGACCUUCCCAUCUGCCUCCCCUGCCUUAUCCCAUCCUGGAACGUCCUCUGCGCACCAGUGGCAGGGAGCUCUCUCUGGCAUAUUCUUGGUGGAAGCUCUCUCUGCACAUUAGAAUUAAUACGAUUAAUGAUAUUAAUUAAUAGGAUUAUUGAAGGAUCACAGUCUUUUGACAGGAGUGGUUGCCACAAGGGACGCUGAACCUAAAUGUCCCUCCGCUAAAUGCUGUUGAAGGUAUCAUUUGAGCACACUGGGACCCUCAGCAUGCUGCUCUCAGCUACUUCUGCUGCAAAGAACUAGAAUUAGACAAGCCAGAGUCAAACCAAUUCUGUCUUUCAAGUACAGUUUAUGCUGCCUGAGCACCCGAUUUUAUAGGAGAAAUCAAGGAUAUAAGAUUAGAGGUUAAUACUGACUCAUCACCACCCUGGACUGCCGUGGCAGUUAUUUUAUAUGGACAGCUUGUUCCUUCCAUGUACAGCUCAGAGAUGGAUCCUCUUCAGAAACCUAUUCCCUGCCCAAACAGAGCAAAGGGCUCUGCAGACUUCAUCAGGAGUAACCCCUGCAGCUGGGAUGCCACAGACUGGCCUCUGGGAGCCAACCUGAUCUGCAGUAGAGCACGGAGAAGGCUGCUUUCAGGUCAGAAAACAGAACAAGGGUGAUCUCAUCCCUGUGCCAGUUUCUCCACAUUACAAAGUCACCGCAAGACAUGACGACACAUUGUUCCUGCUCCAGGAGGAUGGGACUGAGGGCUUGUCUGCACCACUUGGAAGAAUGAACUGGAAGGAACAAACAUGCACAAGCAAUCUCAAGAUAUCACACAAUUAACAGCGCUGGAUAUUCAUCAGCCUGAUUUCGAAAAUGGAGCAACUGUGACGUGAUGAGAUGAAGAAAUUUGCUAGAUAUCAUGGAAUGAAUUGGCCCCCAUACAAGUAUUAGAACACCUUUCCUUAUUCCUGGUGCCAUUCGUCAUCCACACAAGAACACCAAAGCCACUUCUUGUUGCCAUUCCCCACAUUUCAGCAGACUGGAGCCCACAAGGACUGGGCAUUCAGCCUCUUCACAUUUUUGGGUAAGAAGCUGUUGUGACUGAGAAGAGCCACGAGUCCAGACAAACAUUAUGGCCUGCAGUGACAUUGCUAUGGCAGAUUUAUGCAGUUCCUGACCCUCACAGGGACAUGUAGCCAACACGGCUGUGAGACCAGGCAUUUCUCUGCCUCUCAGACCUAUGAGGUCCCUGUGAGAACUCAAUUUGUUCUGUGUAACCUUACCUGCACUGCUAUUGCUUUUGCCACCACCACAGGCACCAGUCAGAGCAAUGCCUGGCAUUAUUCUGAUCUGUACACAGGGACAUAGGAAAUACAAACAAACUGGCUGACCACAGUGGCACGAAGUGAGAGAUCAGUGUUCUAGGAACAUAGGGUGGCUCAGGUUGGAAGGGACUUCAGGAGGCCAUCUAGUAUUGCUACUUGAAGUAGGGUCAGCUGUGGGGACAGAAGGGAGAACUCAGGGCUUCAUCUGAUCUGGACUUGAAAACCUGGAAGGUGGUGACUGCAAAUGGUCCACCUGCUCCACUGCUUGGCUGUCCUUGAGAUUCAAGUUUCUCCUUAUAUCCAGUCCAGAUCUCUGUUGUUUCAGCCUAUGCCUGUUGUCUCCCACCUUCCCACCACUCAGCACUGAAGAACUUGGUGCCAUCUCGUCUGUACUGGAGAGCUGCUGUUAUGUCCUUCAGCAAGCCCUGGUCUCUCAGCCUGUCCCCACACUGCAAGUGCUCCAGUCCCAUGAUUAUCUUGGUGGCCUUCUGCUGAACUCCCUCCAGUUUGUUCGUGUCUUUUCCAUACUGGGGGAGGCCAAAAGGAGAGCUGAGCAGAGAGGGACAGCGGCGUCCUUUGAUGGGCUGCUGUGCUGCUGCCGACAGAGCCCAGGCAGCUGCUGGCACUCACUGCCCACAGACCCCAGGGCCUCUCCAGCAGAGCUUCUCCCUGGGCAGCCAGUCCCAGCAAGCACCACCGAUGGGCUUCUUCCCUUCCAGGUGCAGGAUCUUGCAUUUGUCCCUGUUGAAUUUCAUGAGUUCACACCGCUGCAGCCUCAGUAUUUCUGAGCGGCAGCUCUGCACACUUUCCCCAGUGUCAACCAUUCAGAUUGUGGCUCACUGCAACAGGAAUCCUUCAAGCUGGGAGUCCUGAUUGAUAAUAAGCUAAAUAUGAACCAGCAAUGUGCCCUCAUGGCCAAGAAGGCCAAUGGCAGCCUGGGAUGCAUCAGGAAGAGUGCGGGCAGCAGGUCGAGGGAGGUUCUUCUCCCCCUCUACUCUGCCCUGGUGAGGCCUCAUCUGGAGUCCCGUGUCCAGUUCUGGGCUCCUCAGCUCAAGAGGGACAGGGAAGUGCUGGAGAGAGGCCAGUGCAGGGACACCAAGGUGAUCAAGGGUAUAGAACAUCUUUCUUAUGAGGAAAGGCUGUGGGAACUGGGGCUGUUUAGUCUGGAGGAGACUGAGGGGGGAUCUUAUUAACAUUUAUAAAUAUCUAAAGGAUGGGUGUCAGGAGGUUGGGACAUCCCUCUUUUCUAUAGUAGCCAGCAACAGGACAAGGGGUGAUGGGAUGAAGCUGGAACAAAAAGUUCCACUUAAACAUAAGAAAAGACUAUUUCAGUGUGAGGUGAGGGAGCCCUGGCACAGGCUGCCCAGGGAGGGUGUGGAGGCUCCUUCCUUGGAGGGCUUCAAGACCCACCUGAACAUGUUCCUAUGUGACCUGAUCUAGGUGACCCUGCUUCUGCAGGGGGGUUGGACUGGAUGAUCUCUAAAGGUCCCUCCCAACCUCACCAUUCUAUGAUUCUAUGAUUCUAAGCACAAAGACAGUGCCUUGUUUAAGAGUGGCUUGGCUUGAGUAAGGACUGUUGCUAUUUAGCUAGAACUGUCAUGGCUUUCUGGGGGCUGAAGUUCAGGUUCUUCAGAAGCUCGUACAGGUUCAACACAAGGAUCCCAUUUACACUGAGGUAAUUUUAUACAUAGAAAUGUCCUUUUAAACUUCAGGAAGCCACUGAGGAGAGUAAAAUAAGAAUAUACAGCCAUGGUAUUUUAUGACGUCUCCUUUCUUGGGCCUUUUUUGGGGUGAGAAAUCAAAUCUUUGGUGGGUAGCUGGCAUAUAGUUAAAAAAAGAGGUAGAAACAUAAAUGUAGGAAAUGGAAGCAACUGAUGCAGAAAUCCAACAACUUUCGUGGCUAUCCACUGGGCACUUCUGAGGUCCUUUGUUGUUACAGUCAGGCUGUACACAGCUCCUGUAUUACUCCCACUUGGUAGUGCAGUUGUUCCAGAUAGGUACCAGCACGAUUAAGAACAAGGUUUGUCUUGCAUUAUAUUUAGUGAAUUUGGAAGCAAACCUGACAUCAAAUUUCUUUGCCUCUGUUGUUUCCUUUUAAGCACCUCUGCAAGGCACUCAGAACUUUUUCUAAAACCUCUAAUAUUCUUAAAAUAUAUGAAGAGAAACGUUGCUGAAUUACCCUUUUCCUCUUGUUUUAUAACCUGUGAAAAUAUGCUCAUAGAACUCCAACACAUCUUUAACUUCCAUAUCUUCCAAGACAUUCUGAUGUUGUUCUUUGCCAGCCAGCACAGAGGCCACCAUGGACAAGGGCUUUAGUGUCCUUAUCAGAGCUGUGAUAUGUGCUUGUAAUUCAAGUUCUGUGCUGUCUGAGAGAAAACGUAGCACACUCAUCUCUGCCCUUGCACCCACCCAGGUGUGGUAUCAGCUUCUGAGUGCUUUAAUCAGUAAAACUUUUAGGUUUAUUUGAGCUAGCUUUCUGUCCAGAUGCAUUACAGACCAGCAUGAUGCUAUACAUUACCUGGCUUUUUCUGCUCUGUAUUGUCAAUCCUUGAAGGGCUUCAUUUAUCAUGUUUUGCUCCCUAUAAACAUCACUUAAAAAUUAAAGAAGGAUUGUCCUGUAGUCCUGAUCCUACCAUCAGCACUCUGUCAUAAAGCUGCUUCUUUCCCAGUCGAGUGACCCUGUGCCUCUAAGCACUGCAGAGGGGAGUUUGUCCAGGCUGGAAUUGAGUACCAAUGGGGACUGCAAGGGUGUGGCUCUUCAUUUUAGCAUUUCAGCAAGAAGAGGCUGAAAGGUAUUAUGUCUAAUGAUUUACAAAGUGACAACAGAGUUGCAGGGUUCCUAUCUGCAUGCAACUAUAUAUGAGUCAUGGAAGGAAGUAAUACAGGUUACACGUUCUGCAGGGUAAAGUCAUGUGAACUUGUCACCUGAGACUUCUGCAUAAUGCCUGUCCGGUUCCUGUUCCUGGCUUAUUCCACGUCCCACAGCUUGUCUUUGUGAGUCCUUGCCAAAGCAAAAUGCCACAGCUACUGUUUUCAGUUAUGCUGUUGUGACUUAAGUGCACAUUCUUAUGUAAAAUCUCUGGCAAAUCAGCUGGACAGACAGAAGACUUUGGCUUGCAGUCCUCAAAGGGCUGUGCUCGAGAACGCUGAUGUAGACCACCAGCUCUGGGAAGCCACUGCCACUCCAUGGAAGCCAGCAGCACAGACUGCCCCUGGACAAUCCUGCACUGUGAACCUCGCAGAUGUCCUCCUGCUGCCAUACAUGCAAAGGAGAAGCAAGAAUGAGAAAGCAAAUGCAAUAGGGGGAGAUGUUAACAGAAAAAGUGGGAGGGAACUGAAAGCAUUACCCUUCUCCUUGCACAACUUUAUCUCCAGCUUCCCAAGAUUUUGCUCUGUAUCACCUCUGUUGUAAGCAGAACCUUGUUUCUCAUGUUGUCUGAGAACACAGAAGAAAUUGUAGACUCAAAACUCCUUCAAUAAAUUAACACUCAGAAUCACUUCCCACCAUGUCCUGUGUGGGGUCAAUGCACCUGCAGAAAAGUAGCUGCAGAAACAACAGACUAGUGCAACCUGGGGUACACAAGGUACACACAUGCUCUAGGUGGUUUACACAAGGCACUGUUUAUUGUUCCUAGUGGUGGGCAGGAGAUCAAGAACCCCCAGAUUUUGGUUGUACUUUGGGCACUCAUUUGGUCUGCAGCUUUGUGCGAAUAAUUUACAAUUUGGGUUUCAGGUUUAUUACCUGAAAAUUGGGGAGGUAUUAUUUAUAAACCUUGUAGGCUUCCAGGAAGUUCCCCCAAAAUCCAUCUGAUAAUUACAUUCAACAGCAGCUGAAAUGUCUCUGCACACCGUGCACAGAGGCAGCACUGUGGAAACAGACAGAACAGGGUACAGAAGAUAUGGCUUACUUCUGGUAACAGCUGGGUGUACGAUGGUGCUGAAGGCCUGGCUCUGUGGAGUACAGUGGAAGAAAAGUGGGUAUUUUCUUAGGCAUUGACCUAUAGACUAAGAAAUUUGAAUGUGUUAGCAUCCUUGAAGAGAGCAGUUUCAAAAGCAGGGUGUGCUCAUUUGCACAGCAUGCCUGUGUGCACAUUGGAACUGCAGAAAAGAUCUGAACCCCUUUUCUGCUACAGUGAUAUUGCUUAACUUUCAUAUUCCUACAGAGCUCGCCAUGAACCUUCCCACAUGCUAAAUCUAUCAUACUAGGUAUAUUUACUUACCAUUAAAAAAGUCUUUUACCACAUGAGUAAAUACUGAAAUAUGUACACAGGUUAACCAUGAUACUGGAGAAUAAAA